RNAcentral lists this ribosomal RNA (117 nucleotides) under Nitrospinota bacterium. RNAcentral also lists the same sequence under 2 other names. The record is from RNAcentral. Lineage: Bacteria; Pseudomonadati; Nitrospinota.
UCUGGUAGCGUUACCGGAGGGGCCACACCCGUUCCCAUCUCGAACACGACAGUUAAGUCCUCCAGGGCCGAUGAUACUUUGACCGCGAGGUCAUGGGAAAGUAGGUCGCUGCCAGAU